Molecule: ribosomal RNA, 495 nt
Filed under: uncultured bacterium
Lineage: Bacteria
Description: partial 16S ribosomal RNA
Rfam family: Bacterial small subunit ribosomal RNA
Source: RNAcentral
GAUGAACGCUGGCGGCGUGCUUAACACAUGCAAGUCGAACGCAGAAGGCGGAGUUUGCUCUUCUGGAUGAGUUGCGAACGGGUGAGUAACGCGUAGGUAACCUGCCUGGUAGCGGGGGAUAACUUCUGGAAACGAUAGCUAAUACCGCAUGACAACAGUUACUGCAUGAUAACUGUUUAAAAGUUGCAACUGUUCCACUACCACAUGGACCUGCGUUGUAUUAGCUUGUUGGUGAGGUAACGGCUCACCAAGGCGACGAUGCAGAGCCGACCUGGGAGGGUGGGCGGCCCGACUGGGAGGGAGACACGGCCCAGACUGCUACGGGGAGGAGCAAGAGGGAAUCUUGGGGGAUGGGCGGAAAUCAUUGCGAACAAGGCCGCGUGAGUGAACAAGGUUUUCGGGUGGGAGAGCACUGUUGUAAGGGAAGAAACAGCGUGAGAGUGGAAAGAUCACACAGUGACGGUAUCUUACCAAAAAGCGACGGCUAACUACGUG